GGACAUAUAGCUCAGCGGUAGAGCGGACGACUGCAGAUCGUCAGGUCGUUGGUUCAAUUCCGACUGUGUCCU
RNAcentral lists this transfer RNA (72 nucleotides) under Olpidium bornovanus. It matches the Rfam family "tRNA". From Rfam's summary of the family: Transfer RNA (tRNA) molecules are approximately 80 nucleotides in length. The record is from Rfam by way of RNAcentral. Lineage: Eukaryota; Fungi; Olpidiomycota; Olpidiomycetes; Olpidiales; Olpidiaceae.